AUUGAACGCUGGCGGCAUGCUUUACACAUGCAAGUCGAACGGUAACAGGGAGCUUGCUCCGCUGACGAGUGGCGAACGGGUGAGUAAUGCAUCGGAACGUACCCAGUCGUGGGGGAUAACGUAGCGAAAGUUACGCUAAUACCGCAUACGUCCUGAGGGAGAAAGCGGGGGACCGUAAGGCCUCGCGCGAUUGGAGCGGCCGAUGUCGGAUUAGCUAGUUGGUGGGGUAAAGGCCCACCAAGGCGACGAUCCGUAGCGGGUCUGAGAGGAUGAUCCGCCACACUGGGACUGAGACACGGCCCAGACUCCUACGGGAGGCAGCAGUGGGGAAUUUUGGACAAUGGGGGCAACCCUGAUCCAGCCAUGCCGCGUGAGUGAAGAAGGCCUUCGGGUUGUAAAGCUCUGUCUGGAGGGACGAACAAAAUAGACGGUACCUCCGGAGGAAGCCACGGCUAACUACGUG
Molecule: ribosomal RNA, 463 nt
Filed under: uncultured bacterium
Lineage: Bacteria
Description: bacterial SSU rRNA
Rfam family: Bacterial small subunit ribosomal RNA
Source: RNAcentral